AUAAGUUAUUUGCAACUUAUAUUAAUCCCUUUCCACUUUGCAGGUGCGAGUGCUGCCUUGUAAUGGCAGUAGCCUACUCUUUUUAUACCCCCGCUUUAAAAAAGGGGGUAUACUGUUUUACCUCUGUCUGUCAGUCCGUCCGUCAGUCCGUCCGUCAGUCAGUCCGUCCCAUGAAACUUUCGUCACAUUUUUCUCAGGAACUACACAUCCACCCUUUCUGUAAUUUGGUAUCAACAUUUAUAUAUGUCAGCCAUACCGUGUGAUGCGUUUUCAGAUUCAUCACUUGACAACUUCCUGUUUACCGAACACUUGUCUGAUUUUACACAUGAUAGCCAAGUUGAAAAUUUUCGUCACAUUUUUCUCAGGAACUACAAUACAAGGAUUUCUGAAAUUUGGUUUCAGGAUUUAUAUAAGUCAGGUAUACCGUGUGAUGCAUUUUUCAGAUUCAUCACUCGACAACUUCCUGUUUACCGAACACUUGUAUGAUUUUACACAUGAUAACCAAGUUAAAAAUUUUCGUCACAUUUUUCUCAGGAACUACAAUACAAGGAUUUCUGAAAUUUGGUUUCAGGAUUUUUAUAAGUCAGCUAUACCGUGUGAUGCGUUUUCAGAUUCAUCACUCGACAACUUCCUGUUUACCGAACACUUCCAUAUUUUUACACUAUUAAUAUUAUCCACUUGCGGCGGGGGUAUCAUCAGUGAGCAGUAGCUCGCAGUUUCACUUGUUUGAAAUCUACAAGGGUGUCUUUUUACGUGCAAGAGAUAUGUCUCUCUCUUAACAUUGGUCAGCCAUUUAUCCUACCCUUCCAACGGACUAUCAUCAUUUCUUAAAACCAU
RNAcentral lists this long non-coding RNA (837 nucleotides) under Mytilus galloprovincialis (Mediterranean mussel). Lineage: Eukaryota; Metazoa; Mollusca; Bivalvia; Mytilida; Mytilidae. The record is from RNAcentral.